Molecule: ribosomal RNA, 494 nt
Filed under: uncultured bacterium
Lineage: Bacteria
Description: partial 16S ribosomal RNA
Rfam family: Bacterial small subunit ribosomal RNA
Source: RNAcentral
GACGAACGCUGGCGGCGUGCUUAACACAUGCAAGUCGAACGGUGAAGCGCCUUCCUUUUUGGUGGGUGUGGAUGAGUGGCGAACGGGUGAGUAACACGUGAGUAACCUGCCCCCUUCUUCUGGAUAACCGCAUGAAAGUGUGGCUAAUACGGGAUAUUCUGGGUCUGUCGCAUGAUGGGUCUGGGAAAGAUAUUGUUUCGGUGGGGGAUGGGCUCGCGGCCUAUCAGCUUGUUGGUGGGGUGGUGGCCUACCAAGGCGGUGACGGGUAGCCGGCCUGAGAGGGUGGACGGCCACACUGGGACUGGGACACGGCCCAGACUCCUAAGGGAGGCAGCAGCGGGGAAUAUUGGACGAUGGGAGCAAGGCUGAUGCAGCGGCGCCGCGGGAGGGAUGGAGGCCUUCGGGUUGUGAACCUCUUUCGCCAGUGAAGCAGGCCUGCCUCGUUUGUGGGUGGGUUGACGGUAGCUGGAUAAGAAGCGCCGGCUAACUACGUG